UACAGAGGUCUCAAGCGUUGUUCGGAUUCAUUGGGCGUAAAGGGUGCGUAGGCGGCGCGGUAAGUCGGGUGUGAAAUCUCGGAGCUUAACUCCGAAACUGCAUUCGAUACUGCCGUGCUUGAGGACUGGAGAGGAGACUGGAAUUUACGGUGUAGCGGUGAAAUGCGUAGAUAUCGUAAGGAAGACCAGUGGCGAAGGCGGGUCUCUGGACAGUUCCUGACGCUGAGGCACGAAGGUAAGGUGAGCAAACAGG
This 253-nucleotide ribosomal RNA is filed under the name uncultured bacterium. RNAcentral's name for it is "partial 16S ribosomal RNA". It matches the Rfam family "Bacterial small subunit ribosomal RNA", at positions 524 to 776 of the family's 1533-position model. The record is from RNAcentral.